RNAcentral lists this ribosomal RNA (374 nucleotides) under uncultured bacterium. RNAcentral describes it as "bacterial SSU rRNA". It matches the Rfam family "Bacterial small subunit ribosomal RNA", at positions 523 to 897 of the family's 1533-position model. The record is from RNAcentral.
AUACGUAGGGAGCGAGCGUUGUCCGGAAUUACUGGGUGUAAAGGGAGCGUAGGCGGGAGAUCAAGUUGAAUGUUAAAUCUAUUGGCUUAACUAAUAGCUGCGUUCAAAACUGAUUUUCUUGAGUGAAGUAGGGGCAGGCGGAAUUCCUAGUGUAGCGGUGAAAUGCGUAGAUAUUAGGGGGAACACCAGUGGCGAAGGCGGCCUGCUGGGCUUUUACUGACGCUGAGGCUCGAAAGCAUGGGUAGCAAACAGGAUUAGAUACCCUGGUAGUCCAUGCCGUAAACGAUGAUUACUAGGUGUGGGGGGUCUGACCCCUUCCGUGCCGCAGUUAACACAAUAAGUAAUCCACCUGGGGAGUACGGCCGCAAGGUUGA